RNAcentral lists this ribosomal RNA (448 nucleotides) under uncultured bacterium. RNAcentral describes it as "bacterial SSU rRNA". It matches the Rfam family "Bacterial small subunit ribosomal RNA", at positions 329 to 793 of the family's 1533-position model. The record is from RNAcentral.
ACCCAGACUCCUACGGGAGGCAGCAGUGGGGAAUAUUGCACAAUGGGGGGAACCCUGAUGCAGCGACGCCGCGUGGGUGAAGAAGCGCCUCGGCGCGUAAAGCCCUGUCAGCAGGGAAGAAAAUGACGGUACCUGACUAAGAAGCCCCGGCUAACUACGUGCCAGCAGCCGCGGUAAUACGUAGGGGGCAAGCGUUAUCCGGAUUUACUGGGUGUAAAGGGAGCGUAGACGGCGAUGCAAGUCUGAAGUGAAAGGCGGGGGCCCAACCCCGGGAGUGCCCUUGGAACUGCACGGCUGGAGUGCGGGAGGGGCAGGCGGAAUUCCUGGUGUAGCGGUGAAAUGCGUAGAUAUCAGGAGGAACACCGGCGGCGAAGGCGGCCUGCUGGACCGCGACUGACGUCGAGGCUCGAAAGCGUGGGGAGCGAACAGGAUUAGAUACCCCUGUAAA